CAAAAUAUACUGAGAGCGAAGAGAGAGAGAGAAAACAGCUCCCCCUUCCCUUCUCCAACAGGAAAAACCGGCGGAAACGCGCCCGCACCAGAGCACUUCUGGGCUGCACAAUCCCAGCUCUCUCGACCUCUCCUCAGAUGUCAGAUGCACCAGUGUCUUCAUCAUCUUCAUGGCCCUUCACUGACUUACUGCAGAAAGUUCCUGUCUGUGUUGUACUGGACCCAGCACCCUGAUGUGUCUGUCUACUAGUGCUGAACAGAUGGGAAUAAUCACCUCCCUCGACCUUCUGGUAGAUGGAGCAUCCUUUUAAGCAUUCCUCUAAGUAUCCUGCUGGAGCCACUGUGGUUGGCAGGAGCCACCACCACCCCUGCCUGGACUGUGAAGAACACAGAUUUUCCAUGCUGAUCUGAAGGAUGCUCUCUGCUCUGGUUCUGAAGUGGUAUUGUGCACAGUACAAUCAAGCCUUCAGCCUCUCUUAAAGAUCUUUCAGACAGAUAAAGAUGGAGCACUUAUUCUUGUGGAGAUCCUCAGCGAACAACUGCAGAAUGCAAAGGAUCAAUGGCCAUGAUAUAAAAUAAUUUCUGCUCUCUGAAACACAUUCCUUUGCCCUAGGAGUGGGUCACAGUGCAAAUGGGGCCAAGCUGUCCAUUAUCUAAAGCACGGGAUUAGCCAAACAAAUAUAGCAUACAAGUCAUUUUUUGGUUGCUUUGAGGCAACACUGUAGUGGGUUGACCCUGGCCGGAUGCCAGGUACCCACUAUAGCC
Pipra filicauda (Wire-tailed manakin) is the source of this 764-nucleotide RNA transcript. RefSeq lists it as uncharacterized. Lineage: Eukaryota; Metazoa; Chordata; Aves; Passeriformes; Pipridae. The record is from RefSeq and is a predicted model, not a curated record. The transcript is spliced from 3 exons.